This 301-nucleotide ribosomal RNA is filed under the name uncultured bacterium. RNAcentral describes it as "partial 16S ribosomal RNA". It matches the Rfam family "Bacterial small subunit ribosomal RNA", at positions 509 to 807 of the family's 1533-position model. The record is from RNAcentral.
CAGCAGCCGCGGGAAUACGAAGGGUGCAAGCGUUAAUCGGAAUUACUGGGCGUAAAGCGCGCGUAGGUGGUUUGUUAAGUUGGAUGUGAAAUCCCCGGGCUCAACCUGGGAACUGCAUUCAAAACUGACUGACUAGAGUAUGGUAGAGGGUGGUGGAAUUUCCUGUGUAGCGGUGAAAUGCGUAGAUAUAGGAAGGAACACCAGUGGCGAAGGCGACCACCUGGACUAAUACUGACACUGAGGUGCGAAAGCGUGGGGAGCAAACAGGAUUAGAUACCCCAGUAGUCCCUGUCUCUUAUAC